AAUGAACGCUGGCGGCGUGCCUAAUACAUGCAAGUCGAGCGAACAGACGAGGAGCUUGCUCCUUCGACGUUAGCGGCGGACGGGUGAGUAACACGUAGGUAACCUACCUAUAAGACUGGGAUAACUUCGGGAAACCGGAGCUAAUACCGGAUAAUAUUUCGAACCGCAUGGUUCGAUAGUGAAAGAUGGCUUUGCUAUCACUUAUAGAUGGACCUGCGCCGUAUUAGCUAGUUGGUAAGGUAACGGCUUACCAAGGCAACGAUACGUAGCCGACCUGAGAGGGUGAUCGGCCACACUGGAACUGAGACACGGUCCAGACUCCUACGGGAGGCAGCAGUAGGGAAUCUUCCGCAAUGGGCGAAAGCCUGACGGAGCAACGCCGCGUGAGUGAUGAAGGUCUUCGGAUCGUAAAACUCUGUUAUUAGGGAAGAACAAACGUGUAAGUAACUGUGCACGUCUUGACGGUACCUAAUCAGAAAGCCACGGCUAACUACGUG
Molecule: ribosomal RNA, 497 nt
Filed under: uncultured bacterium
Lineage: Bacteria
Description: partial 16S ribosomal RNA
Rfam family: Bacterial small subunit ribosomal RNA
Source: RNAcentral